Molecule: ribosomal RNA, 164 nt
Filed under: Fagraea elliptica
Lineage: Eukaryota; Viridiplantae; Streptophyta; Magnoliopsida; Gentianales; Gentianaceae
Also listed under: 3 other names
Description: 5.8S ribosomal RNA
Rfam family: 5.8S ribosomal RNA
About the family: 5.8S ribosomal RNA (5.8S rRNA) is a component of the large subunit of the eukaryotic ribosome. It is transcribed by RNA polymerase I as part of the 45S precursor that also contains 18S and 28S rRNA.
Source: RNAcentral
AAAACGACUCUCGGCAACGGAUAUCUCGGCUCUCGCAUCGAUGAAGAACGUAGCGAACUGCGAUACUUGGUGUGAAUUGCAGAAUCCCGUGAACCAUCGAGUCUUUGAACGCAAGUUGCGCCCGAAGCCAUUCGGCCGAGGGCACGUCUGCCUGGGCGUCACGC